This 495-nucleotide ribosomal RNA is filed under the name uncultured bacterium. Its description in RNAcentral is "partial 16S ribosomal RNA". It matches the Rfam family "Bacterial small subunit ribosomal RNA", at positions 28 to 507 of the family's 1533-position model. The record is from RNAcentral.
GACGAACGCUGGCGGCGUGCCUAAUACAUGCAAGUAGAACGCUGAAGGAGGAGCUUGCUCUUCUGGAUGAGUUGCGAACGGGUGAGUAACGCGUAGGUAACCUGCCUGGUAGUGGGGGAUAACUAUUGGAAACGAUAGCUAAUACCGCAUAAUAACAGUUGUUGCAUGACAACUGUUUGAAAGGUGCAAUUGCAUCACUACCAGAUGGACCUGCGUUGUAUUAGCUAGUUGGUGGGGUAACGGCUCACCAAGGCGACGAUACAUAGCCGACCUGAGAGGGUGAUCGGCCACACUGGGACUGAGACACGGCCCAGACUCCUACGGGAGGCAGCAGUAGGGAAUCUUCGGCAAUGGACGAAAGUCUGACCGAGCAACGCCGCGUGAGUGAAGAAGGUUUUCGGAUCGUAAAGCUCUGUUGUAAGAGAAGAACGAGUGUGAGAGUGGAAAGUUCACACUGUGACGGUAGCGUACCAGAAAGGGACGGCUAACUACGUG